This is a long non-coding RNA of Xenopus tropicalis (tropical clawed frog), 845 nucleotides long. RefSeq lists it as uncharacterized. The transcript is spliced from 2 exons. The record is from RefSeq and is a predicted model, not a curated record. Lineage: Eukaryota; Metazoa; Chordata; Amphibia; Anura; Pipidae.
GGGGGCAUAGGGGAUCACGGGUCUCUACUUGCCAUCUCACCACCUUGGGCCCUCUCUAAUGGUCCUAAACAUCCUAGGCCCUUUCCAACAGCGCUCCCUACCUCAGGCCCUAUCAAGUGGCCCUCAAUUCCCACCUCUUUGCCAUGUCACUUGCUCACCUAAGUGGCCACAGGAGUACCCAAGCUUCCAUUUGAUACUCUGCUUCUUUCCUCCUCACAAAAGGUACUGUGUUGUUAUGAGUUUUCUGGAAGUGUGCUGCAACAUUGUUUUAAUGCAUCUCUGUAGUUCUCUCUAUGUAUUCCUCUUUCUGCAUUUCCUGUCUCUACUCGUACUGCGCUGGGGAAAUAGCUGACUGAGGUGCCAGAUGACCAACAGGGUGUUUGAUCAAACUUGUGGUGUGUGAUGAAUCCAUGAGAUGAUUUCAUCUCUCCUGCUGAUGCCACAAGCUUUAUUGUUGGCACCUCAAAAGCUCACCUUUCAGUGCAAUUACAUAGGCUAUCUGUAUCAUUCCUUGCUACAAUUCUUUCCUUUUUUACAUUGUAUUGUCUGGUGUCUGAGGAUACACAACAGCAGAGAUUAAGUAAAAACGCCAACGAUUCUGCACCAAAGAAAAGGCAGAAUAUCAUUAUCCAAGAAACAAUGGAGUCUUGUGAACUGCACUGAAUCAACUCCACACGGAGACCUGGACCAAAUAGGCAGCACUUCAACAACAUUGUGCUUUACAGUUGGAACAAGUAGGAAGUGGUCCAUUAAGACCAGGAAGCCAUCUUACACCGCUAAUCCCACACAAACCUACAGGGCUGAUCUGACUAUCCUUAUACUAAAAUAAAAUUUCACUAAAAUUA